GCACUGCUGAGGAGUCCCAUAAGAGGACGAAACGGCCGUCCAGUGC
Schistosoma mansoni is the source of this 46-nucleotide non-coding RNA. The record is from Rfam. NCBI's taxonomy places the organism in Eukaryota, Metazoa, Platyhelminthes, Trematoda, Strigeidida, Schistosomatidae.